CGGCGCGCAACGCGGGAAGCCACUGGGACGAGAGAAGACGCCCCUUCCUAACGGCCUUGCUUGCUUGCUUGCACUCUUGAGUUAAUCGCACGGUACAGUUGGCGCCGGUCCGGAGGGCUCCUAAGAAACGCGUCAGGGGUGAAGUCUCCCCAGCCAUGACCUCCACCGGCCAGGAUUCCACCACAACCAGACAGCGAAGGAGUAGACACAAUCCCCAUUCCCCCCCCCACGACUCCAGCGUCACCUCGGUGAGGCCCCAGACCUCGAAGCGAGGUGUUAAAAAGGGUGCCGUACUCCGCUCCAGCCCCAAUCUAGCGGAGGUAAAGAAGAAAGGCAGAAUGAAGAAGCUUAGUCAAGCAGCCGAGCAAGACCUAGUCGUGGGGCUGCAAGGGCUGGAUCUGAACCGGGAGGCCAGGACACCGUCUGGCACUGGCUUGGUGUUCGAUGAGCAGCUAAAUGAAUUCCACUGCCUCUGGGAUGACAGCUUCCCUGAAGGCCCUGAGCGGCUCCAUGCCAUCAAGGAGCAGCUGAUCCAGGAGGGCCUCCUGGAUCGCUGUGUGUCCUUUCAGGCCCGAUUCGCCGAAAAGGAGGAGCUGAUGUUGGUUCACAGUCUAGAAUACAUUGAUCUGAUGGAGACGACCCAGUACAUGAAUGAGGGGGAACUCCGUGUCCUAGCAGAUACCUAUGACUCAGUUUAUCUGCAUCCGAACUCAUACACCUGUGCCUGCCUGGCCUCAGGCUCCGUCCUCAGGCUGGUGGAUGCAGUCCUGGGGGCUGAGAUCCGGAAUGGUAUGGCGAUAAUCAGGCCUCCUGGACACCACGCCCAGCACAGUCUUAUGGACGGGUAUUGCAUGUUCAACCACGUGGCUGUGGCUGCCCGCUAUGCUCAACAGAAGCAUGACAUUCAGAGGGUCCUUAUCGUGGAUUGGGAUGUGCACCAUGGUCAAGGAACACAGUUCACCUUUGACCAAGACCCCAGCGUCCUCUAUUUCUCCAUCCACCGCUACGAGCAGGGUCGGUUCUGGCCCCACCUUACAGCCUCCAACUGGUCCACCACAGGUUUUGGCCAAGGCCAGGGAUACACCAUCAAUGUGCCUUGGAACCAGGUGGGGAUGCGAGAUGCCGACUACAUCGCCGCUUUCCUGCACGUCCUGCUGCCAGUUUCCCUUGAGUUCCAGCCCCAGCUGGUCCUGGUAGCUGCUGGAUUUGAUGCCCUCCAAGGGGACCCCAAGGGCGAGAUGGCCGCCACUCCGGCAGGGUUCGCCCAGCUAACCCACCUGCUCAUGGGUCUGGCAGGAGGCAAGCUGAUCCUCUCACUGGAGGGUGGCUACAACCUCCGCUCCCUGGCUGAGGGCGUCAGCGCCUCUCUCCACACCCUUCUGGGAGACCCUUGCCCCAUGCUGGAGUUCCCUGGCACCCCUUGCCCGAGUGCCCAGGUGUCAAUCUCCUGUGUUCUAGAAGCCCUUGAGCCCUUCUGGAAGGUCUUUGUGAGAUCAGCUGAGACCCUGGAGGAGGAGGACACUGUGGAGGGGGACAAUGUGGAGGAGAAGGAGGAGGAGGGACCGUGGCAGCCUCCUGAGCUCCCAAUCCUGACGUGGCCGGUGCUGCAGGCUCGCACAGGGCUGGUCUAUGACCAACAGAUGAUGGAUCACUACAACUUGUGGGACAACCACCACCCCGAGACGCCUCAGCGCAUCCAGCGUAUCAUGCACCGCCUAGAGGAGCUGGGGCUUGCCGGGCGCUGUCUCGCCCUGCCCGCACGGCCAGCCACGGACGCUGAGCUGCUCGCCUGCCACAGUGCUGAGCACGUGGAUCGUCUGCGGGCCACGGAGAAGAUGAAAAUCCGGGAGCUGCACCGCGAGGGCGCCAACUAUGACUCCAUCUACAUCUGCCCCAGCACCUUCACCUGUGCACUGCUGGCUGCUGGCGCCGCCUGCCGCCUGGUGGAGGCUGUGCUGGCGGGAGAGGUUUUGAAUGGCAUUGCUGUGGUGCGUCCCCCUGGCCACCAUGCAGAGCGGGAUGCCGCUUGCGGUUUCUGCUUUUUCAACUCUGUGGCUGUGGCUGCUCGCCAUGCCCAGGCCAUCAGUGGGCGUGCGCUGCGGAUCCUGAUCGUGGACUGGGACGUCCAUCAUGGUAAUGGAACUCAGCACAUAUUUGAGGAGGACCCCAGCGUGCUGUACAUUUCUCUGCACCGCUAUGAUCAUGGCACCUUCUUUCCUAUGGGGGACGAGGGUGCCAGCAGCCAGAUAGGUCAGGCUGCAGGCACGGGCUUCACCGUCAAUGUGGCCUGGAAUGGGCCCCGCUUGGGUGACGCCGACUACCUGGUUGCCUGGCAUCGUCUGGUGCUUCCCAUUGCCUAUGAGUUUAACCCGGAACUGGUGCUGGUCUCAGCUGGCUUCGAUGCUGCCCGGGGGGACCCACUGGGCAGCUGCCAGGUGUCGCCUGAGGGCUAUGCCCACCUCACCCACCUGCUGAUGGGCCUGGCCAAUGGCCGCAUUAUCCUUAUCCUAGAGGGUGGUUAUAACCUGACAUCCAUCUCGGAGUCCAUGGCCGCCUGCACCCACUCCCUCCUUGGGGACCCGCCACCCCUGCUGACCCUGCUGCGGCCCCCACUGUCAGGGGCCCUGGCCUCAAUCACCGAGACCAUCCAAGUCCAUCGCAGAUACUGGUGCAGCUUGCGGGUCAGAAAGGUCAAAGAUAAAGAGGGACCCUCCAGUUCUAAGUUGAUCACCAAGAAGGCACCCCAGCCAGCCAAUCCUGGGUCAACCAAGGGGAUGACCAUGCCAGAAGGGAACAUUCUGGAGGCAGGCACGGGGAAGGCCACCUCAGCAACAUCUGUGAAAGAGUCCACUCCAUGCCAGACUACGUCAGAGACAGCUGUGAUGGAGCUCACUCAGGACCAGUCAUCAGAGACAGCCGUGGGAGGAACUGCUGGGCUGAACCAGGCCACCUCAGAGGCAGCCACAGGGGAUGCCACGCUGGACCAGACCACCUCGGAGGAGGCUGUGGGGGGAGCUGAGCUGAUCCAAAGCCCUCCAGCCUCAUGCGCUGACAGUCAGACUCCUCCAGCGUCACCCAUGCAAGGAGCCACAACCCAGAUAUCCCCCAGUAAGCUGACUGGAAAUCUCAGGACCUUGGAACUAGACAAGGCACAGGAACCCCCAGAAGAGGAGGAGCUACUAGGAGAGGCAGCUGGAGGUCAGGACAUGAAUGAGUCAGUACUGAUGCAGGUCACUGGAGACCAUGCUGACACUGAACAAGCCAUGUUUUAUGCUGUAACACCACUGCCCUGGUGUCCCCAUUUGGUGGCAGUAUGCCCCGUACCUGAAGCAGGCCUGGAUGUGACCCAACCUUGUCAGGACUGUGGAGCACUCCAGGAGAACUGGGUGUGUCUGUCUUGCUACCAGGUCUACUGCAGUCGUUACAUCAACGCCCAUAUGCUCCAACACCAUGAAGGCUUGGGACACCCGCUGGUACUCAGCUACGCCGACCUGUCUACCUGGUGUUACCACUGUCAAGCCUACGUUCACCACGAGGCUCUCCUAGCUGUGAAGAACAUCGCCCACCAGAACAAGUUUGGGGAGAACAUGCCCCACUCACACUAAAUCCCAGAGUGUGCUCCUCUUCUUCACCUUCUGAGACCCAAGAUAGACCAACCUUAGUUCAUUCCAAGCUAUACCUUUGAUGAGGGGUAGCCUCACUCCAUCCCAUCCUGAAGACCCUUUACAACUCGCCCAGGGUGCUGAUUUAAGUGUAUAUAUUUGUAAGAGGACUGUGAUGAUCAAUUAUAGAUCUCCCACUGCCUGCUCAAGGGACUCCAUCUACUCUGCCCCAGAAGGCAAGGGGAGCAGCUCAGUGACCCCAAGAGGGGGCUGAUAUAAAGAUGAUACUUUGGAGGGAAGGGGGAUCAACUGGCAGGACCGGAUGCAACUCUCUCCCAUGCUACCAAAAAGCCCACUUGAGGCAGCACAAGCUCCAGGGCCUCAGGCCCUCACAAAACAUUUGGCAAAGUCUGGACAUUCAGGUCAAAAAUCUGACACACCCCCCCCGCAGUAA
Balaenoptera acutorostrata (minke whale) is the source of this 4056-nucleotide RNA transcript. It is a transcript of the gene named histone deacetylase 6, with no coding region annotated. The record is from RefSeq and is a predicted model, not a curated record. Lineage: Eukaryota; Metazoa; Chordata; Mammalia; Artiodactyla; Balaenopteridae. The transcript has 30 exons.